GGUAAAAAUUAUUGUAAGGGGUCACAGAAUAAGAAACAAGGAGGAGCAAAUCUGAGUGCAAAAACAAUCUUAAGCCAAUAAACAAGUGUGUAAAAGGUGAAACAAAAGGUCCUCUAUGAAUUGUCUGGAAACUCAAUUUGAAAUAGAAAAGAACAAAAAAAAAGAGGAAAGGUUGGCUGAAGUUCAUUUAGACUUUAAUCUUAAGAUAUGGUUGACUUUUUUUAUUAGAAUUAGGCUGUCAUUUUUAAAAACUAAAUAAUCUUAAAGACUACGUCUGAACUCAUCAAAAUCUUCCAUAUAGUCAAAUAAGGGCCGCGUGAAUCACAGGCCCAAACUCACAAAUUACGAUGUAAAUAAGGGCCGCGUGAAUCACAGGCCCACACUCACAAAUUACGAUGUAGGUUCUACAAUUUUGUAGACCUUAGAGCAGGGGCGUUCCAAGUGCAAUGAAAACCACUGACCUAGGCCAUGGACCUACAUGAUCGUCCAUUGACCCCAUCCAGGUAUGUAAGUCUUUCACCACCGCCCCUAGUUUCAAUCUUAUAAUCCCUAUUCCAAUUUCUUAUGCCCAACAUUUCCUGAUGUGGGACUCUUUUACUAUAGGAUACUUCAAAUAUUCCUUUGCUAAUCUUGUUGCACAAACCCAGUUGAAACACGACAGACACUGGAGAUUCUUGGUUUGCAAUGAAUCUAUGGAAAGUGUUUAUGCAUUUUCUCAAACUACGUGAGUUUGGAAAGCUAACUAGUGCAACAUCUAUUUUGCAUUGAACUUGCAAUAGUAACUCUCAUUUUACCCACAUCUCAACAGUUUCAAGACUAAACCUAGUCUUAGGCAAAACAUGUUUUUCCAGUUCUGAAAAGCAUUUCUGUAAUCAAAUCGUCAUUCAUUUUAAAGUAAAAAACCAAAUAUAAAGAGAUUAGGUGCUAACUUAAUAAUUACCAAACCACAAUUAAUAGUUACAUAUUCAAUAAAAAGGUCAAAACUGGAAGUGUGAACCUUUACGAAAUAUUUAAACCAGAGCUAAGAAAAUAUAUUGUUGUAAAAGUAGAAGAGGGCAACCUAGGAAAAGAAACAACAUAUACUAAAAAUAUAAUAGGUCUAGCUAAGAAAUAUCAUUUUACUAGAAUAGAAGAGGGCUGCGCGGACGCAAGCCCCCACUACCACAAAUUAUGAUGUAGACUCUGCUCAUAGAACAGAUCUUAGGAGAAUGCCCCUCCAAAGUGCAAUGGAGGUCAGUAUCCUAGGCGAUGGACCUUAUUGAUCGUCCAUACACCCCACCCAGGUAAGUGAGUAUAAAUGAGUACAAAGCUUAACUUUUAUAACUCUUCCUAUCCCUUAAAUUACCUCAACUUUUCAGUGUGGGACUAAUCUACUUCUAUUGCUCAUGCACAGGUAUGUGACAUUUUCAGGGAUAUCUAUUUCCCAGAUAUCGAUGGCAUGGCAUGUACUCUUACAGUAUAUGAAAACACUUCUAAAACACGAAUUAGAGAUUGCAACAAGGUAUAGCACGUAGUAAGAUCAAAUGCUAAAAACUUAAGAUUCAAUGUUAAACCUUUUUUUUUCAAUGGUCUUAGCUCUCAUUUUAAUUUUUAGCCCCCGGCCAAUCCUAACCCCUCUAGUGACUAUUAAAUUACAUCUUUAAUAUAUAUUGUUACUUUAAGUUCCAUCUUUGGCUUUUAGGUUUUAGGUUUUAGCUUUUAAUUCACAUGAACAUGCUUUUAACUUCUGUUUGCUUCCGAAAAGCAUUAGUAUUUAAGAUUCAGA
Molecule: long non-coding RNA, 1765 nt
Filed under: Vigna radiata
Lineage: Eukaryota; Viridiplantae; Streptophyta; Magnoliopsida; Fabales; Fabaceae
Description: long non-coding RNA (VRAD_LNC016237)
Source: RNAcentral